CUUCGCAGUAAAAUAACUCUGGUAAAAUGGAUAUUGAUAGUUUGAGUAAAGAUUUUACGAAUGAUGUGCAGGUGCUUCGUGAUUUUAGAAUUCGUAGGCGUCAAAAAAAAAUUUAUAAACAGAGCGUGAAUUCUCUGGACCUGAAAGAAGAAGAAUUCCGGUCGUAGUUUUGGGAAGCAUAUUGUAUGAUCUGAGUCACAUGCGAACGAGGAAUAAUUACUAUAACUGUCGAGCGUUGCUUCGGGGUGUGGAAGCAAAGAUUCCGCAUUCUCAAUGAAACGUUGUGAGGAUUCCUCCACGUGAUCAAGAUCACGAUUAUUGCUGGUGCAGUUUUGCACAAUUUAACAAUACUAAUAAUAAUUAAUGAGUCUAUUUUAAAUCAAGAUCCUACAGGCAUUGAAAAUCAAUUAACAAAUCCAACUGUCCCUAAUAAUGUAGAAGAAUAAGAAGAUGAAUGCGAAAAACAAGGGAAAACAUCAACACAGCCAUAUUGAAACUUAUUUUUAUAAUUAAAUAAAUAUUUUCAUAUAUUUGUAAA
Molecule: long non-coding RNA, 538 nt
Organism: Colias croceus (clouded yellow)
Lineage: Eukaryota; Metazoa; Arthropoda; Insecta; Lepidoptera; Pieridae
Exons: 2
Source: RefSeq, a predicted model, not a curated record